This 490-nucleotide ribosomal RNA is filed under the name uncultured bacterium. RNAcentral describes it as "partial 16S ribosomal RNA". It matches the Rfam family "Bacterial small subunit ribosomal RNA", at positions 30 to 507 of the family's 1533-position model. The record is from RNAcentral.
AUUGAACGCUGGCGGCAGGCCUAACACAUGCAAGUCGAACGGUAACAGGAAGAAGCUUGCUUCUUUGCUGACGAGUGGCGGACGGGUGAGUAAUGUCUGGGAAACUGCCUGAUGGAGGGGGAUAACUACUGGAAACGGUAGCUAAUACCGCAUAACGUCGCAAGACCAAAGAGGGGGACCUUCGGGCCUCUUGCCAUCGGAUGUGCCCAGAUGGGAUUAGCUAGUAGGUGGGGUAACGGCUCACCUAGGCGACGAUCCCUAGCUGGUCUGAGAGGAUGACCAGCCACACUGGAACUGAGACACGGUCCAGACUCCUACGGGAGGCAGCAGUGGGGAAUAUUGCACAAUGGGCGCAAGCCUGAUGCAGCCAUGCCGCGUGUAUGAAGAAGGCCUUCGGGUUGUAAAGUACUUUCAGCGGGGAGGAGGGGAGUAAAGUUAAUACCUUUACUCAUUGACGUUACCCGCAGAAGAAGCACCGGCUAACUCCGUG